Long non-coding RNA from Puntigrus tetrazona (Sumatra barb), 173 nucleotides. RefSeq lists it as uncharacterized. Lineage: Eukaryota; Metazoa; Chordata; Actinopteri; Cypriniformes; Cyprinidae. The transcript is spliced from 3 exons. The record is from RefSeq and is a predicted model, not a curated record.
GGGAUGCGUCAUCGCUAGCUCCGCCCCUUGGUGUGUGUGGGUUUCCGCAUGGAAAAGCUGGAAUAGCUUCUGGUUUGCGGUUUUGCAGUGGUGCGCAGGCUGUCAUUGAUCCCCGGCUGGGUUGAGUCCACUUUCCGUGUGAAUUGUCAAACAUUAUGCUGUGAGCAAUCAUA